AUCGAACGCAACUAUUUUUAUAUUGCCAAAUUGAAUAUAAAUUCCGUAUGUUAUCGAUAACUAUAAUAGUGCGUCUGACUCGCGAGUCAUUUGUGGUACACAUGGAAUUCCACACUUUUUGCCGCAUAUACUAUGGGAGCAUUUCAGUUCACAUCUUUUGCUACAAGGCUGACAUUCCAGUCUGCAGGGCACUUCACACCUGUAAAUACGAUAAAUUUUAGACAAUUUUAAUUCAUCAAAUAAUGUUUGCUGUAGUGUUCUCAGAACAAAAAAGUUUGAUUACUGAUGUCCACAAAUAAGAAUAUUGUUGCAAGGCUCAGCACAGUUUAUGUGUAUUCGUCCCUGUAGGCAUGAACCACACUUUCCUUUGCAUAAAUGUUUGCACUCCAAUUCGACUUUGCACGGUGCUUUGCAGUACUUCAAUAAUUCUCGCGAGUUUGGAUCUACAAUGAGAAAUCAAAUCGAAUGUUAACUUCAAGUUAUUUGCGGUUGCAUGACUGAUACAAUUGAAACGCUGACCUGUCUUUUGAAGAUAGCAUGGUACUUGCAAAGAGUGCCCACACAGUGCAGGUUUUCCUAGCUUAACCAAGACCUUGCAGUCUGAAGUGCAAGCCUCUUUGCAUUUGUUAGUACAAGGGUGUCCACAAGGUAAUAAUUUAGGACACUUGCCGCUACAUUUAGAUGGCGAUGGUUCUUCGCUGCAUUUUACUUUCACGAUAUGGUUGCAGGGACUCAACUUUUUUACCUGAAAAUCAAGCUUCCGCAUGGUUCGCAGCAUUUCAAUGGGCACUUGUGAUCACAGCUUAACUUGCGCUUGCAAGGUCUGUUGCACUCAAUUUCCUCUACAUUCUUCGAGCACACAAAUUGCUUGAAACGAUGUCCGCAGGACCGGGUUUUCGCAACAAUUAUUGGACACAGCCCGCAUUCUUCGUAGCAACGUUUCUGACACAUAUGAUUUCCCUCACAAUUAUCAUAAAUCCGAGCGCAAUCUCUGUAGCACUUGUACUGAAAACCAAAUUUUAAAUCAAUAAUGAAAAAUAGAACAUAUUGAGUUAUCGCACUAGUUUUAGCUAAUCACUCAAUAAAAUAAGUAGAAUACAUU
Long non-coding RNA from Rhagoletis zephyria (snowberry fruit fly), 1102 nucleotides. RefSeq lists it as uncharacterized. The record is from RefSeq and is a predicted model, not a curated record. NCBI's taxonomy places the organism in Eukaryota, Metazoa, Arthropoda, Insecta, Diptera, Tephritidae.